GUCUUUUAGAAAAAAAUUAAAAGUCUAAUCUGCCCAGUGAUUAUUAAAUGGCCGCGGUAAACUGACCGUGCAAAGGUAGCAUAAUAAUUAGUCUUUUAAUUGAAGGCUUGUAUGAAUGAUUGAAUGAAAGAUUUUCUUUAUUGUUUUUAACAUUUUAAUUUAAUUUUUAAGUAAAAAAGCUUAAAUUAUUGUGUGGGACGAGAAGACCCUAUAGAGUUUAAAAAUUAGUUUAGUCAAUUAUUUCUGGUUUUUGUUAUUAAAUAGAUUAUGUUAAUUUUUUUGUUGGGGUGAUAUUAAAAUUUAAAAAACUUUUAAUUUAUUUUUCAUUAAUUAAUGAUUUUAUGUUCUUAUUUUUAAAGUAAAGGACUAAAUUACCUUAGGGAUAACAGCGUAAUUAAACUAUAGAGUUCUAAUCGACAGUUUAGUUUGCGACCUCGAUGUUGGAUUAAGAAAAGAUUUUGGGGCAAGUUCUAUUAUGUCUAGGUCUGUUCGACCUUUAAAUUCUU
Molecule: ribosomal RNA, 506 nt
Filed under: Platypedia similis
Lineage: Eukaryota; Metazoa; Arthropoda; Insecta; Hemiptera; Cicadidae
Description: partial large subunit ribosomal RNA
Rfam family: Archaeal large subunit ribosomal RNA
Source: RNAcentral